AGAGUUUGAUCCUGGCUCAGGAUGAACGUUAGCGGUGUGCCUAAUGCAUGCAAGUCGAACGGGAACCUUUGGAUUCGUCUGAGGGUGAGAGUGGCGGACGGGUGAGUAACACGUAGGUGACAUACCCCAGAGAGGGGGACAACCAUUGGAAACGAUGGCUAAUACCCCAGAUGUUACACUGUCUAGAAAGGUGUGACUAAAUGCUCCGGUGCUCUGGGAGUGGCCUGCGGCCCAUCAGCUAGUUGGUAAGGUAAUGGCUUACCAAGGCAAAGACGGGUAGGGGGCGUGAGAGCGUGACCCCCCACACUGGUACUGAGACACGGACCAGAUACCUGCGGGUAGCAGCAGCAAGGAAUAUUGCGCAAUGGGCGAAAGCCUGACGCAGCAACACCGCGUGGAGGAUGAAUGUCUUCGGAUUGUAAACUCCUUUUCUGGGGGAAGAGAUAGGACGGUACCCCAGGAAUAAGUCUCGGCUAACUACGUGCCAGCAGCCGCGGUAAAACGUAGGAGGCAAACGUCAUCCGGAUUUACUGGGCGUAAAGAGCUCGUAGGUGGUUCGGUAAGUCGGGUGUGAAAACUCUGGGCUCAACUCAGAGACGCCACCUGAUACUGCCGUGACUGGAGUCUGGUAGGGGAGUGUGGAAUUCCCGGUGUAGCGGUGAAAUGCGCAGAUAUCGGGAGGAACACCAGUGGCGAAGGC
Molecule: ribosomal RNA, 700 nt
Filed under: uncultured bacterium
Lineage: Bacteria
Description: bacterial SSU rRNA
Rfam family: Bacterial small subunit ribosomal RNA
Source: RNAcentral